Molecule: ribosomal RNA, 198 nt
Filed under: Moxostoma valenciennesi (greater redhorse)
Lineage: Eukaryota; Metazoa; Chordata; Actinopteri; Cypriniformes; Catostomidae
Description: partial small subunit ribosomal RNA
Source: RNAcentral
CACCGCGGUUAUCGAGAGGCCCUAGUUGAUAAGAACGGCGUAAAGGGUGGUUAGAGGAGUACAAAAAUAAAGCUGAAGGACCCUCUGGCCGUUAUACGCUUCCAGGUACCCGAAACCCGAACACGAAAGUAGCUUUAAUUUAGACCACUUGACCCCACGAAAACUGAGGAACAAACUGGGAUUAGAUACCCCACUAUG